Molecule: ribosomal RNA, 468 nt
Filed under: uncultured bacterium
Lineage: Bacteria
Description: partial 16S ribosomal RNA
Rfam family: Bacterial small subunit ribosomal RNA
Source: RNAcentral
GACGAACGCUGGCGGCGUGCUUAACACAUGCAAGUCGAACGGAAAGGCCCUGCUUUUGUGGGGUGCUCGAGUGGCGAACGGGUGAGUAACACGUGAGUAACCUGCCCUUGACUUUGGGAUAACUUCAGGAAACUGGGGCUAAUACCGGAUAGGAGCUCCUGCUGCAUGGUGGGGGUUGGAAAGUUUCGGCGGUUGGGGAUGGACUCGCGGCUUAUCAGCUUGUUGGUGGGGUAGUGGCUUACCAAGGCUUUGACGGGUAGCCGGCCUGAGAGGGUAACCGGCCUCAUUGGGACUGAGAGACGGCCCAGACUCCUACGGGAGGCAGCAGUGGGGAAUAUGGCGCAAUGGGGGGAAGCCUGAUGCAGCAACGCCGCGUGCGGGAUGACGGCCUUCGGGUUGUAAACCGCUUUCGCCUGUGACGAAGCGUGAGUGACGGUAAUGGGUAAAGAAGCACCGGCUAACUACGUG